RNAcentral lists this ribosomal RNA (486 nucleotides) under uncultured bacterium. Its description in RNAcentral is "SSU rRNA". It matches the Rfam family "Bacterial small subunit ribosomal RNA", at positions 26 to 521 of the family's 1533-position model. The record is from RNAcentral.
AGGACUAACGCUGGCGGCGUGCCUAACACGUGCAAGUCGAGCGGACACCACUUUGUAGCAAUACAGAUGAAGUGUUAGCGGCAGACGGGUGAGUAACACGUAGUCAACCUACCUUACCGUCCGGGAUAACUAGCCGAAAGGUUAGCUAAUACCUGAUACGAUCAUCGAGCGGCAUCGCUUGAUGAUGAAAGCAGUAAUGCGCGGUUUGAGGGGGCUGCGGCCCAUUAGCUAGUUGGUGAGGUAACGGCCCACCAAGGCAACGAUGGGUAGCUGGUCUGAGAGGACGACCAGCCACACUGGGACUGAGACACGGCCCAGACUCCUACGGGAGGCAGCAGUGAGGAAUUUUCCGCAAUGGGCGAAAGCCUGACGGAGCGACGCCGCGUGCACGAGGAAGGUCUUCGGAUCGUAAAGUGCUGUCGAGGGGGACGAUUAUGACGGUACCCCUGGAGGAGGCCCGGCUAACUACGUGCCAGUAGCCGCGGU